This 428-nucleotide ribosomal RNA is filed under the name uncultured prokaryote. Its description in RNAcentral is "bacterial SSU rRNA". It matches the Rfam family "Bacterial small subunit ribosomal RNA", at positions 355 to 774 of the family's 1533-position model. The record is from RNAcentral.
CUAAGAAUAUUCCGCAAUGGACGAAAGCCUGACGCAGCAACGCCGUGUGAGGGAUGAAGGCUUUCGGGUCGUAAACCUCUGUCGGAAGGGAAGAACGGGCAUUGGUCUAAUAGGCCUUUGUUUUGACGGUACCUUUAGAGGAAGCACCGGCUAACUCCGUGCCAGCAGCCGCGGUAAUACGGAGGGUGCAAGCGUUAUUCGGAAUUACUGGGCGUAAAGCGCACGUAGGCGGCUUCGUAAGUCAGGGGUGAAAUCCCACGGCUCAACCGUGGAACUGCCUUUGAAACUGCAAAGCUUGAAUCCUGGAGAGGGUGGCGGAAUUCCUGGUGUAGGAGUGAAAUCCGUAGAUAUCAGGAGGAACACCGGUGGCGAAGGCGGCCACCUGGACAGGUAUUGACGCUGAGGUGCGAAAGUGUGGGGAGCAAACA